RNAcentral lists this ribosomal RNA (460 nucleotides) under uncultured bacterium. Its description in RNAcentral is "partial 16S ribosomal RNA". It matches the Rfam family "Bacterial small subunit ribosomal RNA", at positions 338 to 795 of the family's 1533-position model. The record is from RNAcentral.
CCUACGGGUGGCAGCAGUGAGGCAUAUUGGUCAAUGGCCGUAAGGCUGAACCAGCCACGUCGCGUGAAGGAAGAAGGAUCUAUGGUUUGUAAACUUCUUUUAUAGGGGAAUAAAGGUAUCCACGUGUGGAUAUUUGCAUGUACACUAUGAAUAAGCAUGGGGUAACUAUGUGCCAGCAGCCGCGGUAAUACGGAGGCUGCGAGCGUUAACCGGAUUUUUUGGGUUUAAAGGAUGCGUAGGUUGGUUAUCAAGUCAGAGGUGAAAGUUUGUGGCUAAACCAUAAAAUUGCAGUUGAAACUGGAAGACUUGAGUGUGGUUGAGGUAGGCGGAAUGCGUGGUGUAGCGGUGAAAUGCAUAGAGAUCACGCAGAACUCCGAUUGCGAAGGCAGCUUACUAAGCCAUAACUGACACUGAAGCACGAAAGCGUGGGGAUCAAACAGGAUUAGAUACCCUUGUAGUC